Molecule: ribosomal RNA, 507 nt
Filed under: Amblytylus nasutus
Lineage: Eukaryota; Metazoa; Arthropoda; Insecta; Hemiptera; Miridae
Description: partial large subunit ribosomal RNA
Rfam family: Archaeal large subunit ribosomal RNA
Source: RNAcentral
GGUCUUUUGUUUAUAUAAAAGAUCUGGCCUGCCCAAUGAUUAAUUUAAUGGCUGCAGUAUUUUGACUGUACAAAGGUAGCAUAAUCAUUUGUCUCUUAAUUGGAGUCUGGAAUGAAUGGUUGGAUGAAAGAUUUACUUUCUUUAUUUUAUAAAUAAAAUUUGAUUUCUGAAUUAAAAAGUUUAGAUUCUAUUAUAGGACGAGAAGACCCUAUAGAACUUUAUUUCUUUUAAAUUAUUUAUUUAUUUGUAAAUGAUCUUUAUUUAUUUUAAACGGAAUUUUGUUGGGGUGACAAAAAAAAUUAUAUAACUUUUUUUAUUUAUGUCAUUUAUGUAUGAUUAAUUGAUCCUUUACUAUGGAAGAAAGAUUAAGUUACCUUAGGGAUAACAGCGUUAUUGUUUUAGAGAGUUCAUAUUGAUAAAACAGUUUGCGACCUCGAUGUUGGAUUAAAAUUAGUCUUAGGGGCAGAAUACUAAUGACUAGGUCUGUUCGACCUUUAAAUUUUUACA